UACGAACUGUGCAAACGUUAUUCGGAAUCACUGGGCUUAAAGGGUGCGUAGGCGGUCAUCUAAGUAGGGUGUGAAAGCCCUCGGCUUAACCGAGGAAUUGCGCCCUAAACUGGAUGGCUGGAGUGAGAUAGGGGUGUGUGGAACUUCCGGUGGAGCGGUGAAAUGUGUUGGUAUCGGAAGGAACGCCGGUGGCGAAAGCGACACACUGGGUCUCAACUGACGCUGAGGCACGAAAGCCAGGGGAGCAAACGGG
RNAcentral lists this ribosomal RNA (253 nucleotides) under uncultured bacterium. RNAcentral's name for it is "partial 16S ribosomal RNA". It matches the Rfam family "Bacterial small subunit ribosomal RNA", at positions 524 to 776 of the family's 1533-position model. The record is from RNAcentral.